Geopyxis carbonaria is the source of this 98-nucleotide non-coding RNA. The record is from the annotation of a GenBank genome assembly. Lineage: Eukaryota; Fungi; Ascomycota; Pezizomycetes; Pezizales; Tarzettaceae.
UCCGCCAUGGUGUAGUGGCUAGCAUCGGCCGCUCUCAACAGAGCUUCACUGUUCCUCAGUGGUCCGGCCAGACCCGGGUUCAAUUCCCGGUGGCGGAA